GUCCACUGCUAACAAAACUGCAAUUCAGCUGUGCUUUUAGCACUGUCUACCAACUGUGCCUUUCCCGUCUCAUCCUUUUGCUCCUGUGUAACAUUAUAAAGACCUUUCUUUAGUUUUUCCAGCUGUAUUUCCUAUGAUCAUCUCUCUUUAUAGAGUCAACUGUUGCCUCCACUGAAAAAUUUGGGAAGAGGAGGAAGAGACUGUUUGGAAAUUCAGUGUCCCUGAAAUGGCUCGUGCGUGACAGACCUCCAUAUCAGCCCCGGAGGAAUGGGAGUGCGAGGCCAAGUGCCGGCUGCAGGUGCCAAGGGUGCACUAGGAGCAGACUUUGGCGUUUGGUGACUGAAAGGCCAAAGUUCAAGCAGGGGCUUAUUACACAAGACUGCUGACAGAAAACACGAUGGCCUUUUAAAAAUCUAAACCUGGAGUGAAAAAUUUAGAGACCUAGUCAUCAAGUUUAGAAUACAUAUGAUAUCUGGACCCAAAGAUCAGUUUGUGGCAAUACUGACACUGCCCUUCCUCCU
Molecule: long non-coding RNA, 521 nt
Organism: Falco peregrinus (peregrine falcon)
Lineage: Eukaryota; Metazoa; Chordata; Aves; Falconiformes; Falconidae
Exons: 3
Source: RefSeq, a predicted model, not a curated record